Molecule: long non-coding RNA, 1202 nt
Organism: Mesocricetus auratus (golden hamster)
Lineage: Eukaryota; Metazoa; Chordata; Mammalia; Rodentia; Cricetidae
Exons: 3
Source: RefSeq, a predicted model, not a curated record
CUUUGGAAGAGGAGAAAGGAGAAUGCCGACCCCCUCGCCGGGGCCUGGAGAGGCCAGCCUGGGGAGGUACAGAGAGUGUAGGGCCCAGAAAGGAAAAGAGAGAGGGGCGUGGAGAUGCCAGUUCCAAGGAGAACAGAAGAGUGGAAGGAUGGAGAUCCCAGACUCAGGAGAGAAGGCCUCCAGGUCCCAGCUUUGGGAAGAGGCAGGGAAGGGGAUAAAAAUCACCAGACCUGAGGGGGAGUACAGGACAGUAUUUCCCUCCUCCGACAGCACUUGAGAGCGGAACAGCCAAGCCCCAAGGUGUCCAGGCUCCUCUAUUUCUCUCCCCAGAACCAGCAACACAUGCUGUUUACACUGGCGACUCCCUGCCCAGAACAAAUUGCCAGCUAAGAUAAAUCACUGUCAACACCCAGGGACUCCCGGGGCUCAACUUGGAAGAACAAAGAACAUCUUCAAGGACACAAAGCAAAGCCGGUGAUAGCUCAGUCACCCAUGUCUUGCCAGGACCAAGAGGCAGUCACCGGCAGCCUCUCCAGCCUUCUCCCUGCUAGCUAAGGGAAAGGCCCCGUGCCUUUGCUAUCAGCCAGAGACUGGUGCAGGGGAAGCUCCAGAAUCCUAUACUAGUAGGCUGCCCAAUCCACCCAAGAACAUGGUCCAGAUUCCUCGUCCAGUAUCGUCAGCCUGUUUGCUCUUCUGUAACACACAGAGAAUUCCAGGCCCCUCAAUGGGCUACAGACUACAGGAACGAAGGCAUGAAAAUGAUGAAGACAUGAAAAGCGAUUUGGGUAAUGCUUUCCUCUACAUGGUUCUUCCCUCUACCCUCUCCAGAAGCCCGGAUGUGAAACUGACACUAAAAUUAUUUCCGGUCCCAGGAAUCUGAAAACCCUCACCUUCCCGCUAAGACCUACCCAGCUCCCCCAAAAGCCUCAGACUCUACCAGGGGCUGGCGACAAGAAAGAGGACUCAGCAGGCUGGAAUGGAAAUAAGCCCUGAGAGACUGCGCCAUUCCAGGCUGCACCUGUGAGCAGCCCCACAGAUGAUGCCCUGUCAGCGUUUCCAUGACAAACUCACAUUUCCGGAUGCUUCUCUUCCAGCUUGAAGAGCAUGCCUCUCGGCAAGGCUUGAUACUGAAAAUGCAUUCAGAAUUUUUUUCAAAAAAAAAAAAAAAGAUUGCACACUCCAUAAAAACUACGUUCUCCUUA